CCUACGGGAGGCAGCAGUGAGGAAUAUUGGUCAAUGGACGAGAGUCUGAACCAGCCAAGUAGCGUGAAGGAUGACUGCCCUAUGGGUUGUAAACUUCUUUUAUAUGGGAAUAAAAUGUUCCACGUGUGGGAUUUUGUAUGUACCAUAUGAAUAAGGAUCGGCUAACUCCGUGCCAGCAGCCGCGGUAAUACGGAGGAUCCGAGCGUUAUCCGGAUUUAUUGGGUUUAAAGGGAGCGUAGGUGGAUUGUUAAGUCAGUUGUGAAAGUUUGCGGCUCAACCGUAAAAUUGCAGUUGAAACUGGCAGUCUUGAGUACAGUAGAGGUGGGCGGAAUUCGUGGUGUAGCGGUGAAAUGCUUAGAUAUCACGAAGAACUCCGAUUGCGAAGGCAGUUCACUGGACUGAAACUGACACUGAGGCUCGAAAGUGUGGGUAUCAAACAGGAUUAGAUACCCGUGUAGUC
RNAcentral lists this ribosomal RNA (460 nucleotides) under uncultured bacterium. RNAcentral describes it as "partial 16S ribosomal RNA". It matches the Rfam family "Bacterial small subunit ribosomal RNA", at positions 338 to 795 of the family's 1533-position model. The record is from RNAcentral.